AGCAGCCGCGGUAAUUCCAGCUCCAAUAGCGUAUAUUAAAGUUGUUGCAGUUAAAAGCUCGUAGUUGAAUUUCGGGAUCAAUAUAUCGGUCAUGCUUAGGUAUGUACUGGUAUUAUUGACUUCUCCCUUCUGAAGAACCAUGAUGUCAUUAAUUUGGUGUCGUGGGGAAUCAGGACUGUUACUUUGAAAAAAUUAGAGUGUUUAAAGCAGGCAUACGCUUGAAUACAUUAGCAUGGAAUAAUGAAAUAGGACGUUUGAUUCUAUUUUGUUGGUUUCUAGGAUCGACGUAAUGAUUAAUAGGGAUAGUUGGGGGCAUUAGUAUUCAAUUGUCAGAGGUGAAAUUCUUGGAUUUAUUGAAGACUAACUACUGCGAAAGCAUUUGCCAAGGAUGUUUUCAUUAAUCAAGAACGAAAAUUAGGGGAUCGAAGACGAUCAGAUACCGUCGUAGUCUUAACCAUAAACUAUGCCGACUAGGGAUCGGAUGAUGUUAAUUUUUAAUGACUCAUUC
Molecule: ribosomal RNA, 508 nt
Filed under: uncultured Glomus
Lineage: Eukaryota; Fungi; Glomeromycota; Glomeromycetes; Glomerales; Glomeraceae
Description: SSU rRNA
Rfam family: Eukaryotic small subunit ribosomal RNA
Source: RNAcentral